This 321-nucleotide long non-coding RNA is filed under the name Hordeum vulgare. RNAcentral's name for it is "long non-coding RNA (HVUL_LNC017987)". The record is from RNAcentral. Lineage: Eukaryota; Viridiplantae; Streptophyta; Magnoliopsida; Poales; Poaceae.
ACGGGGGUUACUGGUUACACACUCGCGAAGCGCACGGCGCAUGCAUGCGUGGAUCAAGUUAGGGCAUCUCCAAUAGUUUGUUGGUUAGCUCGUUGAUAAAAUAUGCCAUGUCAUCAGUCAACACCUUAACAUACAACUACUUCAAUAGGUUUUAUCUAGUUUGCUCAAUAAGAUGUGAGAUAAAAAUAAGGUGCUCUCUCAUUCUACAUUGAAGCUUGUGCAAAUGUGUUGGUUAAUUUACAUACAACCUUGCUCUCUUUCCUCAUUUAUUGCAUGACACAUCAUCAAAAAUCCUAUGUGUCAAAAUUAUCAACCACUAUC